This 699-nucleotide ribosomal RNA is filed under the name Enterobacter cloacae. RNAcentral describes it as "bacterial SSU rRNA". It matches the Rfam family "Bacterial small subunit ribosomal RNA", at positions 73 to 764 of the family's 1533-position model. Lineage: Bacteria; Pseudomonadati; Pseudomonadota; Gammaproteobacteria; Enterobacterales; Enterobacteriaceae. The record is from RNAcentral.
AAGUAGCUUGCUACUUUGCCGGCGAGCGGCGGACGGGUGAGUAAUGUCUGGGAAACUGCCUGAUGGAGGGGGAUAACUACUGGAAACGGUAGCUAAUACCGCAUAACGUCGCAAGACCAAAGAGGGGGACCUUCGGGCCUCUUGCCAUCAGAUGUGCCCAGAUGGGAUUAGCUAGUAGGUGGGGUAACGGCUCACCUAGGCGACGAUCCCUAGCUGGUCUGAGAGGAUGACCAGCCACACUGGAACUGAGACACGGUCCAGACUCCUACGGGAGGCAGCAGUGGGGAAUAUUGCACAAUGGGCGCAAGCCUGAUGCAGCCAUGCCGCGUGUAUGAAGAAGGCCUUCGGGUUGUAAAGUACUUUCAGCGGAGAGGAAGGCGUUGAGGUUAAUAACCUCAGCGAUUGACGUUACCCGCAGAAGAAGCACCGGCUAACUCCGUGCCAGCAGCCGCGGUAAUACGGAGGGUGCAAGCGUUAAUCGGUAUUACUGGGCGUAAAGCGCACGCAGGCGGUCUGUCAAGUCGGAUGUGAAAUCCCCCGGGCUCAACCUGGGAACUGCAUUCGAAACUGGCAGGCUAGAGUCUUGUAGAGGGGGGUAGAAUUCCAGGUGUAGCGGUGAAAUGCGUAGAGAUCUGGAGGAAUACCGGUGGCGAAGGCGGCCCCCUGCACAAAGACUGACGCUCAGGUGCGAAAGCGUGG